ACGAACGCUGGCGGCGCGCUUAAUGCAUGCAAGUCGAGCGGUGUUCUGCCCGCAAGGGCGGAGCGCAGCGGCAGACGGCUGAGUAACGCGUGAGUGACCUGCCCCGGAGCGCGGAAUAACCCGCCGAAAGGCGGACUAAUGCCGCGUACGUUCGGCAGCAUAGAGGCUGCCGAGGAAAGGAACGGGGUAACCCGUUCCGCUCUGGGAGGGGCUCGCGUCCUAUCAGGUAGUCGGCGGGGUAACGGCCCACCGAGCCUAAGACGGGUAGCCGGAGUGAGAGCUUGUACGGCCAGAGGGGGACUGAGAAACGGCCCCCACUCCUACGGGAGGCAGCAGCAGGGAAUCUUGCACAAUGGGCGAAAGCCUGAUGCAGCGACGCCGCGUGAGGGAUGAAGGCCUUCGGGUCGUAAACCUCUUUUCUCAGGGAAGAGUAAGGACGGUACCUGAGGAAUAAGCAACGGCUAACUACGU
RNAcentral lists this ribosomal RNA (471 nucleotides) under uncultured bacterium. RNAcentral describes it as "partial 16S ribosomal RNA". It matches the Rfam family "Bacterial small subunit ribosomal RNA", at positions 29 to 506 of the family's 1533-position model. The record is from RNAcentral.